Molecule: ribosomal RNA, 1520 nt
Filed under: Filifactor sp. feline oral taxon 046
Lineage: Bacteria; Bacillati; Bacillota; Clostridia; Peptostreptococcales; Filifactoraceae
Description: bacterial SSU rRNA
Rfam family: Bacterial small subunit ribosomal RNA
Source: RNAcentral
GAGUUUGAUCCUGGCUCAGGAUGAACGCUGGCGGCGUGCUUAACGCAUGCAAGUCGAACGGACGAAUCUUAUCGGAGUUUUUCGGAACAAAGAAAAGAUAAGUUAGUGGCGGACGGGUGCGUAACGUGUGGGUAAUCUGCCUUUGUCAUGGGAAUAACUGCUCGAAAGAACAGCUAAUACCCAAUAACGUAUGUAAUAGGCAUCUAUUAGAUAUCAAAGAGAAAUCGGACAAAGAUGAGCCCGCAUCUGAUUAGCUAGUUGGUAGAGUAACAGCCUACCAAGGCAACGAUCAGUAGCCGACCUGAGAGGGUGAACGGCCACAUUGGAACUGAGACACGGUCCAAACUCCUACGGGAGGCAGCAGUGGGGAAUAUUGCACAAUGGGGGGAACCCUGAUGCAGCAACGCCGCGUGAGUGAAGAAGGCUUUCGAGUCGUAAAACUCUGUUGUAAGGGAAGAUAAUGACAGUACCUUAAAAGAAAGCCCCGGCUAACUACGUGCCAGCAGCCGCGGUAAUACGUAGGGGGCAAGCGUUAUCCGGAAUCACUGGGCGUAAAGGGUGCGCAGGUGGUCUGUCAAGUUAGAGGUGAAAGGCAUAGGCUCAACCAAUGUAAGCCUUUAAAACUGACGGACUUGAGUGCAGGAGAGGAAAGUGGAAUUCCUAGUGUAGCGGUGAAAUGCGUAGAUAUUAGGAGGAAUACCGGUGGCGAAGGCGACUUUCUGGACUGUAACUGACACUGAGGCACGAAAGCGUGGGGAGCAAACAGGAUUAGAUACCCUGGUAGUCCACGCCGUAAACGAUGAGUACUAGGUGUCGGGGUGAGACCUCGGUGCCGCAGUUAACACAUUAAGUACUCCGCCUGGGGAGUACGCUCGCAAGAGUAAAACUCAAAGGAAUUGACGGGGACCCGCACAAGCAGCGGAGCAUGUGGUUUAAUUCGAAGCAACGCGAAGAACCUUACCUAAACUUGACAUACCGAUGACGGACUUGUAAUGGAGUUGUUUCCUUCGGGGACAUCGGAUACAGGUGGUGCAUGGUUGUCGUCAGCUCGUGUCGUGAGAUGUUGGGUUAAGUCCCGCAACGAGCGCAACCCUUGUCAAUAGUUGCCAGCACUUGGGGUGGGGACUCUAUUGAGACAGCUAAGGACAACUUAGAGGAAGGUGGGGAUGACGUCAAAUCAUCAUGCCCCUUAUGUUUAGGGCUACACACGUGCUACAAUGGUCAUUACAGAGGGAAGCGAAACUGUGAAGCGGAGCGAACCCCAAAAAGAUGAUCUAAGUUCGGAUUGUAGGCUGAAACUCGCCUACAUGAAGUUGGAGUUGCUAGUAAUCGCGAAUCAGCAUGUCGCGGUGAAUGCGUUCCCGGGUCUUGUACACACCGCCCGUCACACCAUGGGAGUUCGGGGGGCCCAAAGUCAGUGAGCAAACCGCAAGGGUGCAGCUGCCUAAGGCAAAACGAAUGACUGGGGUGAAGUCGUAACAAGGUAGCCGUAUCGGAAGGUGCGGCUGGAUCACCUCCUU